RNAcentral lists this ribosomal RNA (427 nucleotides) under Theophila religiosa. Its description in RNAcentral is "partial 12S ribosomal RNA". Lineage: Eukaryota; Metazoa; Arthropoda; Insecta; Lepidoptera; Bombycidae. The record is from RNAcentral.
AAACUAGGAUUAGAUACCCUAUUAUUAAAAAUUUAAAUUAAAAAUACUAAAAUAGUAUAUAAUUUUAUAAAAACUUAAAUAAUUUGGCGGUAUUUUAGUUUAUUUAGAGGAAUCUGUUUAUUAAUUGAUAUUCCACGAAUAAAUUUACUUAAUUUAUUAAUUUUGUAUAUCGUUGUUAUAAAAAUAUUUUUAAAUAAUAAUAAUAUUUUAAUUUUUAAAUUGAAAUUUAAAUCAGAUCAAGAUGCAGAUUAUAAUUAAGAAUAUAAUGGAUUACAAUAAAUUUAUUUAAUUGGAUAUUAAUUUUAAAAUUUUAUUGGAAUUGGAUUUAAAUGUAAUUUUAUUUAAUUUAUUAAAAUGAUUUAAUUUAAAAUAUGUACAUAUUGCCCGUCGCUUUCAUUUAUAAAUUGAAAUAAGUCGUAACAUAGUA